UGCAGACUGGGGGAUAUUAUUUUUCACUUUCUCUGCUACUGGGCAUCCCACGCCUUUUAUAAAUAUUUAUAGGACAAUUUCUUUCUUGAAAGUACCCAAGUGUGGGGGAUGGUGAGGAGGAUGGUUGAACAGAGAAAGUAAGGAAGAAGUGGUGCUCAUGUGUAUGAAGAUUAGAAGGUGGAGGAAAGCCCCCAGGGGCUUGUUUUAGGCCAGUUUCCUCACCUGCAAGAAGAGGAGUUGGACUAGAUUGGAGAUGUCAAGCCUGGGGUCUGUGGUUUAAAUUAGCAACUCCCUGCAGCUGUAAGCAAUGUGUGGUCGGUGUGUAAAUUUUUCUAGGGUGAGAGCCCAUAGAUUUCAAUGGAUUCUCAUAGAGUCCAUGAUUUACAAAAGGUUAAUCAGCACCUUUCAACCAGGAUCAUCUUCUAGCCCCUCCCAGAGUGAAUAUUUAGAGUGCAAGUCUUCUAGAAGUAGCAGACAUUAAGCUCAGGUCAUAGGAUUCGGAGGGACAGGGCAGCCACUUAGAAUCAUUUUCUAGCAGAGGCGAAAGGGGGUCAGCUCUCCGCAACCUCAUUUUACAGAGGGAAAGCUGAGCUACAGUCAAUUCAAGCGACUCCCCUAAACCACAGGUUUAGAAGAUAAGCCCGGACUAGACAGGCCUGGCACACAGAACACUGGUCUGCACCGAGCGAAAAGCCCCCUUCAAUCAGGCUGUCGCCUGGGAAGGGCAAGACAUCUGUGGCCACAGCGCCAGGAGCCCAGCUGGUUAUUUCUAGCUUGCUGAAUGUCAAAAAUCCAGGCCGCUUCUCACAGCAGCCUCCACUUGUCAGACCAAAUCAAGGCAUCCACGCGUCAGGCAGGCGAAUCAGCUGCCUCCAGCUCCGGCCGCGCUGAGCCUGCCCCGCCCGCGCGGUGCACCUGACCUUGUCGGAGCGCAGCCGGCCGGCACGCCCCGCCCCCGCCCCCCUGGCGCCUGCUCCCACCUGCAGCCCCCGCGUCACGCCUGGGCGGCCAUCGCGGUUUCUCAGCUUGGGGCCAGCUUGGCCGCAUGCCUUGGCCCAGUGUGGCCACGGAAGACGGUCUCCCACGGCCUUUGACCCCAGCGAGGGAUUGGGCAGAACCCUCUGGCUGCUCUCUGGUCUGUUUUGGAAUCUCCCACCUUCACUUGCUUUUCUUCUCAACACACCGCCCAACCCUGAGCCCAGUUCCUCUCUAGGGCCAAAUCAGUGCGCUUGUUGGUGUCUGCAGAAUCCAGUUUCACAGCAAAUGCAAGCAGUCCUGAGUGUCUGCUCUUGGUUUCUCGUCCCCACUUCCCUUCAUUGAACAAAUGUUGGAGCAUCUGCUGGCUAGGCGUUGGACACAGCAGGCUGGCCUCGACCCUCAGGGAGCUGACAGUCUUCUGGGGGAAGAGAAGGAAGAUGGUUCUGAUCACCUUGGGAUUCAUCUUCUUGGAAUCAGCGGUCAGGACACAACAGCCUCUUCUCUCACCAUGAUCAGACCCUGUGGUCUGGCCCACGUGCUAGCUUUCCCUUCUCCCUCCACUCGUGUACAUCCCCUCCGUUUCGGCCGUACACCCAUCUCUCCUACCAGGAGCUGAGUCACUCUGGGUGGGAGAGUGAGAAAAAGAAGAGAAAACUUAAUACCUGAUCAUGUCCAGAGAGGGGGGAAGGAGAACACCACUUAACAGUAGCAGAGUCUCAUAAAUGCCAAGCAUGUGAACUGGUCAUGGGGGUUUGCACUUCUUCCAGUUACUUCCCAGAAAUGCUUAUGAUUUAAAAUGACAGGCAUCAAAAGCAUCAAACCUAGACAAGUGGGUGAAAAGCGAUUUCCACCUGGACAAAGUCACUGCACCCCUGUGCAGAGGCAGGUGCCCUGAUCCUUGCCUGAAAGCUGGAGGUGGCUCAAAAGAGGCAGGGAGGAGGGGGUCACUUGGUGUCUCCCUGAGCGGAAGUGAGCCGUCUGGCUCCUGCUUAAAAACCUAUGUGUGAUUGUGUGAUGUUCAAGGCCUGACCUGUAGGCAGUUACAGAGGCUUCGCCUGGCGGGCCCGGGGAAGGCGCCCUGCACUCAGCAGCCUUCGGGCACAGCCCACGGAUGGCAUCUGGAGGGAGGUGCAGUCACUGCCCUGGGGCCCCCUCGCUGGUCGUGCGCUUCGCACGCCUGCAUUCCUCGCUGGGAGGCACCUGCAUUCCUGUCUCUGUCUGAGGCUCAGGCAGUGGCCCUCUUCAGGUGCCCAUCUCCGCUGAGGCCUCCUUCGAGGGUGAGUGCGGGUAGGGGAGGAAGCCAUGAAGACACUCUCCCCACCGUCUCGGUCCCUGGGACUUUUCCACUCUGAGCCCUUCCCCCUUCCCUCUCCUCCCACCUCGGGGGCCCUAAAACUGCCUUUUCUUCAGGGGCUUCCUCAAGAGCAAGACAACCCUCACAUCUACAACUGAUCCAUCUGCCCCUGACUCGUAUGCAGUUCCAUGGGGGAAAAUGGAACAGGGGAUGGGCAGCUUCUCUGAUUUUAGACUCUUAUUUGUACCAUCGCAGCGAGUGAUUAAAGGCUUGUUGCUUUAAUUGGCUACUCCGA
This is a non-coding RNA of Leptonychotes weddellii (Weddell seal), 2567 nucleotides long. Lineage: Eukaryota; Metazoa; Chordata; Mammalia; Carnivora; Phocidae. The record is from RefSeq and is a predicted model, not a curated record.